This 467-nucleotide ribosomal RNA is filed under the name uncultured bacterium. RNAcentral describes it as "partial 16S ribosomal RNA". It matches the Rfam family "Bacterial small subunit ribosomal RNA", at positions 28 to 506 of the family's 1533-position model. The record is from RNAcentral.
GACGAACGCUGGCGGCGUGCUUAACACAUGCAAGUCGAACGGAAAGGCCCUGCUUUUGUGGGGUGCUCGAGUGGCGAACGGGUGAGUAACACGUGAGUAACCUGCCCUUGACUUUGGGAUAACUUCAGGAAACUGGGGCUAAUACCGGAUAGGAGCUCCUGCUGCAUGGUGGGGGUUGGAAAGUUUCGGCGGUUGGGGAUGGACUCGCGGCUUAUCAGCUUGUUGGUGGGGUAGUGGCUUACCAAGGCUUUGACGGGUAGCCGGCCUGAGAGGGUGACCGGCCACAUUGGGAAUGAGAUACGGCCCAGACUCAUACGGGAGGAAGCAGUGGGGAAUAUUGCACAAUGGGCGGAAGCCUGAUGCAGCAACGCCGCGUGCGGGAUGACGGCCUUCGGGUUGUAAAACGCUUUCGCCUGUGACGAAGCGUGAGUGACGGUAAUGGGUAAAGAAGCACCGGCUAACUACGU